RNAcentral lists this ribosomal RNA (260 nucleotides) under uncultured archaeon. Its description in RNAcentral is "partial 16S ribosomal RNA". It matches the Rfam family "Archaeal small subunit ribosomal RNA", at positions 748 to 1009 of the family's 1478-position model. The record is from RNAcentral.
CAGCCGUAAACUAUGCGCGUUAGGUGUAUCGGUGACCACGAGUUACCGAGGUGCCGAAGGGAAACCGUGAAACGUGCCGCCUGGGAAGUACGGUCGCAAGGCUGAAACUUAAAGGAAUUGGCGGGGAGCACCACAACGGGUGGAGCCUGCGGUUUAAUUGGACUCAACGCCGGGAAGCUCACCGGAUAAGACAGCGGAAUGAUUGCCGGGCUGAAGACUCUGCAUGACUAGCUGAGAGGAGGUGCAUGGCGUAGACGUCU